Molecule: ribosomal RNA, 714 nt
Filed under: Triticum aestivum (bread wheat)
Lineage: Eukaryota; Viridiplantae; Streptophyta; Magnoliopsida; Poales; Poaceae
Description: partial small subunit ribosomal RNA
Source: RNAcentral
AUGGUGGCAAGUGAGCGAGGAUCGGGUCGUCGCAUCCUUAGUGGCGCGCUACAUCGGUGCCCGGAUGUAGUGGAAAAUGAGCAAGGGUCUUCGCAUUUGACUCGACGAGUGCGAAGGGUAAGGAAGCUAGCCGAGCCUAGGAGGAUUCGCUUAGGUAGCUGGAACAUAGGGUCUCUGACAGGGAAGCUUCGGGAGCUAGUUGAUGCAGCAGUGAGGAGAGGUGUUGAUAUCCUUUGCGUCCAAGAAACCAAAUGGAGAGGACAGAAGGCGAAGGAGGUGGAGGAUACCGGCUUCAAGCUGUGGUACACGGGGACGGCUGCAAACAGAAAUGGCGUAGGCAUCUUGAUCAACAAGAGCCUCAAGUAUGGAGUGGUAGACGUCAGGAGACGCGGGGACCGGAUUAUCCCGGUCAAGCUGGUAGCUGAGGACUUGGUUCUCAAUGUUAUCAGCGCAUAUGCCCCGCAAGUAGGCCACAAUGAGAACACCAAGAGGGAGUUCUGGGAAGGCUUGGAAGACAUGGUUAGGAGUGUACCGAUUGGUGAGAAGCUAUUCAUAGGAGGAGACCUCAAUGGCCACGUGGGUACAUCUAACACAGGUUUUGAAGGGGCGCAUGGGGGCUUUGGCUAUGGCAUCAGGAAUCAAGAAGGAGAAGAUGUCUUAAGCUUUGCUCUAGCCUACAACAUGAUUGUAGCUAACACCCUCUUUAGAAAGUGA